GAAAACAUGUUAAAAUAUUUUCAUUCUUAAUAAAUCACCAGUACAAAAUAAACAUAAAGCUGAAUGAUGAUAAUAUUAAGUACAACCAUAAUCAUCUACUAGAAAUCCCCAAAACCCAGUGUCACUAAGUACAUGAGCAUCUGGUAGAUUAUACAAAACCAUUAUAUCUACUGUCGGGAACAAAAAUAGAAAGAAUAAAAUAAACAUAGGGGGAAGGAGACUCUGGGUGCAGCGGGUCAAAGUAUGGAAAGCCGCUCACCACAAGGUUUCCAGCAAAUGCGGCUACGCGCUCGAGUGACCACUUAAAGUACCUGUCUCAGUACCUACACAAUUAGCACAUAAGUGUAGUAUGGGUACAUAAAUUAACGUGUACCCCAUAAGUAACUAGUCUAACCUCGAAGAAGUAGUGAUGAAUGGUCGACAUCGACACUUACUAGUGGUCCAAUAACAAUGUAUAUAAAGUAGACAACUAUGAAACACAACAAGUAGUAGCAAGACAGAUAGAUAUAGUAAUAUGAUUCUUAAGAAAGAAUAAUUAUAAAAUAAUUCAAUACCAUAAACUACCCUGAAGGGACAAGGUCAACCAAUAUCAAAUACGAUACCAUAUCUCAAGUCAGAAAAACUCAUAUGCACACUGACUCCCUGUAGAGUAUUACACACGAGUCUGCCGAGGCGAUCGACCCGAUCCCAAAAUAAUAGUUUUACAUAAUACCACCGAGGAGAAUGGCCCAAUCCCAUAAGAAUAAUUUAUAAUACUGCUGAUGUGAACGACCUGAUCCCAUAAGUAUAAUUCACAAUACUGCCGAGGCGAACGGCCAGACCCCAUAAUAAUAAUUCACAAUACUGCCGAGGUAAACAACCUAAUCCUAAAAGAAUAAUGAAAGUCUCUCACCCACAAAGAUACGUGCGAUUCGAAAGACAUGGAACUACCGAUCAUCAAAUAUCCCACAAAAUUCAAAGUAAGAGGCUCGGUCAAUACAUAAAUUCUAGUCUCAGUCCAGUUAUAAGUUCAAGUAAUCAAACAAACAAGUUUAAUUCAAAUAAUACAGUUUAGGUACGGUGUAGGUCUAAGUCUACCCUGACAUAAACAUGAAUCUAGCUGCACACGGACUCUUGUUACCUCGUAUGUACGUAGCAUCCACAACAAGUAGCACACAACAGUUAAAUACUUACGGGGUUAAUUUCCUCUUAUAAGAUUAUGCAAGAGACUUACCUUGCUUCCAAGCCUACUACUCGGCUCCCAAACCUCACUAGUCACCUCAAAUCGAUGCCGAGCAAUCCAAAACUAGUAAAAGGGCAUACAAACCAAUCAAUAUAUAUUCAAAAUCUCAUAAUUCAAUUAUUAUAUUCAAAACUCCACAGCACUCAAAAAUUCAACAAAAGUCAACCCCUGACCCACGUGCCUGGAUUUCAGAAAUGUUCGAAGAUAAAUGUUAUCCAUGGAAUUACAAACUCAAUUAAAUAGUUUUUACCCCUAUCCAUAUUUAAUUUAGUGUUCAAAUACCUAUUUUUACCAAAUUAUAGGUUUUUCAACCAAACCCCCCAAAAUCUACAAAUUCCCAUGUUAAAAUCCUCACCUAAUCCAUGUAUUUAACCUAUAAUUGGUAGAAAUCACGUACCUCAUGAUGCUUGAUGAAAACCCCCUCCAAAGAUUUUCCAAAUUGCCCAAGCCAAGUGAAAAAUGAGGAGAAUGAGCCUAAAUCCCGUAUUACAAUCACAUUCUGCCUAGGGGGUUCUUAAUAGCGAUCGCGGAAAAUGCCUCCCGAUCGCGAAGACCAAUCUGCCUUCUGCCUAGAAAACCUUCAUCGCGAUCAUGAUGCCCAGGUCACGUUCGAGAUACACAUAGUCCCCAGCCCUCCGCAUUCGUGGUCCCACUACUGACCAUGAUGACUUUCACCUGCCUGCCCAAGAAAUUUCUCCUAUGCGAUCGCGACUGCCUCCACGCGAUCUCGAAGACCAUUAACUCAUCGCGUUUGCGUCUUUAUCCUCGCAAACUCGAAGCAUUGCCAAGCCACCUUCCGCGAUUGCAAUGCCUUUUCCGAGAUCGCAUAGAACAAAUUCACUUAGUCCCACACAACUAUCUGCGAUUGCGUGACCAUCUCUGCGAUCACGAUUCACACUAGACACCAGCAAAAUCUGCCAACUUCAACCUUGCUUCGGGUGGUCCGAAACUCACCCGAGCAACCUGGGACCCCGUUCAAGUAUACCAAUAAGUUCAUAAAAAUCCUCACGUCCUACUCGAAGUCUCAAAACAUAUAAAAUAAUAUCAAAACCAAGAAUCGCACCUCAAAACCAAAUUAAUCAACUUCUAAACUUUAAAUUUCUUUUAACUAGCUUCGAACACGACAAAUCGUACUUAGACAACACAUAAUGAUGCCAAAUUUCACACACAAUUCCGAUAUGACACAAACCUACUCCCAGACUCAAAAUGCCAAAAGUGAUCCGAUAACACUAAUGUCUAAUUCAAAUCAAACUUAGAAAACUCUAAAGCCUUCAAGAUGCCAACUUCCAACAAUAAGUGCUGAAACGCUCCUGAUCCACCCGAAACUCGAUCCGAACAUACGCCCAAGUCCAAAAUUACCAUACGAUCCUAUUGAAACUUUUAAAUCCUGAUUCUGAAGCUGUUUACUCAAAGUGUUGACUCAAGUCAAACUUAGAAAUCAAACUUGGCCAUCUUAGGCCACUAUUAUGGAACAAAGUUUCCAAAUUCAACCUGAAUCCUUCCAAAAUCUAACCAACCAUCCCCACAAGUUAUAAAAUAAGAAAAGCACAUACGGGGAGUCUUAAAUAAAGCAAGAAAAAUUUGAAAAGUAAAAUGACCGAUUGGGUCAUUUCACUUGAGAAGAUUUGUGCUUGUUAAAGCUUCUGGUUUAUGGUAUUUGGUGUGUUAUGAUCUGUAUAGAUGUGGUGAUAUAUGUUUCUCAGAGAUCUUGGGUUAAGGAGCAUGGUUUAAGAGGUUAUUGGAAUUAUUUUUGUAUGUAUUGGGAUAAUGGAAAAGUUAAGAGAGGCCUUUAGAGGCUCGAGGAUUUGUAUAUUCGAUGCAUUGGGUUCUAUGAGGUUGUAGAUGAUCAAGAGUGGUGUAGUAGCCUGUGUAUAUUUGUAGUUGAGGCCGGUGAGUUAGAGGUUUAUGGAAUGUCUAUGAGUGGAAGUUAGGAUGGGUCUCUAUUGGUUGGUAGGAGGCUUAUUACUACUUCAGAAGUAUGUGGAAUCAGCUUAGGUGUCUACUAGUACGACGAUUGAUGAUGUGUAUUUUACGACAGGCCUAAUUUUCCUAUAAAGUUAUUUUUUUGCAGACUUAUUAUAUUUGAGUUAUUGCUGAUAUGGUUCAAACCAUGACGAUUGAGGUUUCAUGUCAAAUUUGGCAUAACUUGUUUGUUGAAUAGCUUGUGCUACGUGAGACGAAGUUUAUGGAUAUGAAAUUAGCAUGAUCGAAUUUGGAUAAGGGUAUAUUUGGAAGCGAAUGCCUUUAGGAAUCCUAGAACAUGCAAUGGUUCUUCCCGGACGAGAGGAAAUCUAUGACUUGUUGAUGUGAUGGGUGAUCUUGAGUUUCUACAGGUUUUGUUCAUCAUUAACAGUGUUUUGAAGGAUUAGAACAACGAUUUAUUUGAGAUGAGGUAUUUUUUCGGUACUGUGUGUGGCUAUAAGUGGUAAUUGCAAUAAGAAGAUAUUGCUAUGGUUAUACGAGUUAUGAGGUACAUCGCGUGGUUACAUCUUAGAAGUACAUUUUAUGGCUUAAUAAAAAUUGUUGAGAUUGAUAAAGUUUAUAUAUACAAGAACCAAAUCUUAGAGGGAGUGCCGAAUAUUAAAAUUUUGUUCAAGGGCUUAUGGGCCAAAGGUUGAAUAAAGAAUUUUUACUUAGGAUUAUGUUUGGUAGAAUGGGAAGAAUUGAGGGAAGAAGGGCACACAAGGAAUGAAUGGGAAGAUCAAAAAGUUGGAAGUAGAAAGAACUUAAUGGGCGUAUAUGGAUUGAGGUGAUGUGACAUCAUCCAAGGGUAUGUGUAUGAUGAGUUUAUGCAUUUAUAUGACUGCUUUGGAUGACUCUUGUCACAUUUGAGAAUGAACAUAUAUUUAAGUGGGGAGAAUGUGACGAUCCGACUGGUCGAUUUGAGUUCUAGCAUUCCUUUAUGUGAUUUGAGACCUUUAACAACUUCAUAUAACAUAUUAUGACUUACGAGUAUGGUUGGUUUUGAAUUCCGAGAGGUUCAGGGGUGGUUUGGAAGAGUAAUUCUUUAUUUGAAAGCAUUAAGUUGGAAGAGUUGACUGGGAUUUGACUUUUGUGUAAACGACUCCGGAUUGGUGAUGGAAAAGUUCCAAUAGGUUUGUAUGGUUUUUUCGGACUUGUACAUAUGUUUGGUUCGGGCCUCGGGUCGCUCAGGGUUGAUUUGGUGCUUCUAGUCAAAGGUUGAAAUUUUGAAUUUGUAAAAGUUUGAAGAUUUUUGGUUUGAUGCGUGUUUCUUAGUUUUGAUGUUGUUAUUCAUGUUUUGAGACUUUGGACAUGUUUGAAUAAGGUAAAUGAACUUGUUAGGAUGAUUGGACUAGGUCCCGAGGGGCUCGGAUGAGUUUCAUACCAUUUGAGACCAAGUUGGAUUUUGCUAUUCUUGUGGUGUGUUACAGUGAAUCGCGGGGGGAGGGGGGAGGGUGUAUCGCAAUUGCAAAGAAGGAAGGUAGAGGCGGCAAGUUUGGUGAUACGCGAUCGGGGGAAGAGGUUCAUGAACACGUAGUGUAGUCAUGUGGUAUAUCGCGAUCCAGAGAAAGGAAAUGUGAUCCCAUAUAAGGCUGUGGCAGGAGGAUGUUAGUUCAUCGUGAUUGCGUGUGAGCUUCGCAUUCACAUAUGGUUGCCUGAUGAACUUUUGCGAUCGCGUGUGUCACACCCCAUUUUCUUAGAAAGCAGGUUUCGACGUAUGACAACUAUUUUAAAGGGUAUUAAAAUAGAAGAGUCACCAUCUAACUAUUUUUUAAGGUGUGUUAGGGCACCUAUUUUAGAAUAACUCUGUUUUAACUAGUCCACAUUACCAAUGAUCGGGUAAGGGCUAAAAUUACCUCGAAUAGAAGACGUUAGGUACUCUUCGAGGUCCACAACUAUAGUUCCCGACCGAAUUUUAAGCUAUGUGGGAAUAUUAAGUUAUUAACUAAAUUAUCCUAAGUGGGCAUACAAAUUAGUUCAUUAUUAAGCUAAAUAAAUAUGUAGGUGAUUAAAUACGCUACUAAUUAUUCUAAGUGGAUCAAAAUGACCGGAUGUAGUCCAACUUAAAGGAUAUUCGAAGCUAUAAUAAAAAUAAUACAGAGACUGAACUUAAAAUGGAAUAACAGAAAGAUUCAUCAAUUGACUAGUAUUAAUUUACAAAAACUUUUAAUUACAAAGAUGUUCAAACCUUAGAGCUACUUAAACAAAUUCUAAAUGGUACUCACUAAACUGGAUAGAGCGCACAUGAAUAAUUAGACAUAAUGGGGGUCCUUAAUUUUUUAAGCCUAAAGGAUCACACCGUGCAACAUAAAUAAUUCUUCGCAACCUUAGGUGCAAUGGUUUCUCAUAUUAUCCAGCUACCCGAUGACUAUCUUUAUAUUGUUUACCUAAAGUGUACUAAUUCAAUUCUAAAUCGGUACAUGUGUGCCUACCCGUCCCAUUUCUAUAGUCCAAGAGGUGUUAGACAGCUAUGGGGAUGGUUAUAUACUCAACCUAAGGUUUCUUAAAAUUAAAAACUAAGCGCCAAACAAGCGAAGUAAAUAGGACUUCAAAGAAUACAAUUAGCAUGUAAAUGGUUCACAUUUACCUCCCAUACAUACCCAUAGAUGGGUGCGAGGACUGUUACUAAUUAGAAACUGAUUUUAAAGAGGUGGCAGAAUUAAGCCGUCGAUAUAUUAGAUUGGAGAAAUAGGAUACAUCCUAUGAGCAUGAUUUCUUAACGUGAUGGUAUACUAGACAUAUUUUCUAAAUUAACUUGUACCAUUAGAUUAGCUUAUUUGUGCCUGAGACGAAAGUUCUAGAUGACAAUUAUGAGUGCGUGAUGGAUAGUGUAAACUGCCUAGGUGGCAUUGUUAAUCCCAUAGGCAUGAUAUCUAUAUGAGUGUUAUAGCAAGGAGUACUAAGGCAGAAUUUUUUAUUUUAAUCCUAUAGGCAGGAUUUCCACGAUUUAAGAGUUAAUGAACACAAACUAGUUAAUAUCUGAAAAUAAAGAAGUAGCCAGGUGGUGUUAAAUAAACGAGCAAAUUAACAUAGACUAGACCCUAUAGGCAUGUUAACUAGGUGGUGUUAUUAGAUUAUUGGACCCUAUAGGCAAGUUAUCUAGGCAGUGCUCCAUCCAUACUAACUAAGGUCCUAGAAUCAUGUUUCUAAGUGAAACGAACACGUCAAAAUAUGAGUCCUAUAGGCAUGGUUUCUAUUAACAAAUAGCAUGUAGGAAUUCAAGACCUAUACACAUUUUUUCUAUUGGCAAGUAGCACAUAGGAAUUUAAUGCUUUCUACCCUUAAUAUAAAUAUAAUACUAUAUGAAUGCUUUCUAAAAGAUAGAAUACCCGACCCCCAGCAUCCAAUAGCUCCCAUAACUAUUUUUUAUAAGGGUUGUUAUUACAGGCCUAAGAGAAAGAGAUAAAAGUAAAAAAAAAUAUACACUAGCCACGGGUCCAGUGAUAUAGUAACUAAAUACAAUGUGAACCAAGUAUAUAUGGGCCUUCAGAAUUUUUAAAAAAUGGACAAGGCCCACAAUUUGCACCCAUAACUCAGCAGCAGUGAAAAGGCCAUGUUGAGUGUGAUACUCGAUUGAUCUCAAAGGCAAGACUCACCCAACCCAUACUCUUGAUGAUUUUAGAGGACUAGGCUAAACUAGACAUGCACCCCUAGAGGCAGACCUUCUAAAUGCACAUGCUAGUGUAUGUUUUGGUAAUUAAUCAUUCAACACGAUGCGAGGAAGAGGAUUUCGAACAAACAACACAAGUGGUAAGCUAGGAAAUAUGUACUAUACCAUAUCACACUUGUCACUAAUUCUAACAAAAAAACCAUGUCUUAAUGGACAAAAAUUUGCACCAAACAAGUGGCUAUAGUUUACACACAGGUUCACUAUUAACAAGGAGGCAGGUCUCAAAAAACCAUAGAUACCACAAAACUGAAGCAUGAACACACAUAAACGAAUGUCUUCCAAUUUCAAGCGUUACUAAUGAUUUACAGAAAUUAGGAGCAGGAUAUUUAGGAGAACUUAAGGUCUGACUCAACAUAUUAAAUGAGUACAUGCGAGGUCUCUUGUUAAAUAACAGGUGAGAUGAAUCUGUAAACCAGGUUCUAUCAAUCCUAACCAAUUUUGGUCACAUUCUUAGUUUUAUAGAAACUAACAAGCUAUUGACAUGGUAGAACAGUCACCAAAGAGUGAUGAGCUAAACACCAAAUUCAAAAAAUAUCCUUAUCCAAUUUAUUAGCUAAGUCUAAAUAUACUAACAAACAUACUAAUCAUAAUUCUAACAGUAAACAAUCAGUAAUUGAAAUUCAUGAGAUGAACCAGUAGCAAAGAUUUUCUACAAGCAAGCUUUGACUAAUUAAGAAGAUAACAUGAUUGGAAAAUCAUUCAACGAACUCUACGACUAAGCAGGCAAGAGUAAAAUAGAAUGGCUAAUGUUACUAACCAAUCAAGAUGGUAACAAGAACAUGCAGCACAAAUUGAAAAGAGUCUCAAAUUGUGUUCCCAGAAUCUUGAAUCCCCGCAAAUCAGAGUUCACGAGGACUUCUAGGGAUCCCUAGCAGUGCUUAUGCCGGGAAAGUUUAAAAAUCGAUGUCCAUUGGCGUUGGCUUUUAACCGGACACAAAUCAACUAAACAAGAAGUGAAACUAAGAACAAUAGAGCAAUAGAAUCAACAAGUAUAAGUGAGAGAUAAAAGAUGAAUGACUAAGGCUUCCCUCUAAGGGGAAAGGGGAGGGGAUUUAUAUAGUACUAGCAUCAUGUGAACAAAUAAAUAAAGAGGAUCAAUCACACAAAAUAAGGAAAAAGACCACAUGCAAACUAAUUUCAUGACGGAUUAGGGUAUGGUGCAAGCCCUAAUUGAGCAUGAAUCACUAGAGAGGUGCCCUGAUUGGAGAGAUAUUCCCUCUCCCUUGAUAUACAUAGCCAGAAUUUUGCAGAAUCUUUAAAAUCGGGUCCAUUUGGACUCGAAUCAUAGAAAUAGAUCUUCCAUAGGUAGAGCAGUACCAAAUAUUACAUAUUUGAGUGGUAAGCACCUAGAAAAGGUAAGAAAAUCUUUGAUUUGUGGGGGAAUAAAAGAGGAAGGGUGAGAAGGCUCUGUGGCCACUAGGGUUCAUCGUGAAAUAGGGAGAUAAGAGGCGUCAGGUGAGAGGAAAAAUGAUAUUAGGGUUGGGGGGUUAAGAGGGGGGAGGGGCUG
Molecule: long non-coding RNA, 8361 nt
Filed under: Nicotiana tabacum (common tobacco)
Lineage: Eukaryota; Viridiplantae; Streptophyta; Magnoliopsida; Solanales; Solanaceae
Description: long non-coding RNA (NTAB_LNC014821)
Source: RNAcentral